GACCGGCGCACGGGUGAGUAACACGUACGCAACCUACCUACAUCAGGGGAAUAACCCGGAGAAAUUCGGACUAAUACCGCAUAACACAGGGGUCCCGCACGGGAAUAUUUGUUAAAGAUUUAUCGGAUGUAGAUGGGCAUGCGUUCCAUUAGGUAGUUGGUAGAGUAACGGCCUACCAAGCCCACGAUGGAUAGGGGAAACUUGAGAGGUUUGUCCCCCACACUGGAACUGAGACACGGACCAGAACUCCUACGGGAGGCAGCAGUGAGGAAUAUUGGUCAAUGGUCGAGAGACUGAACCAGCCAAAUCGCGUGAAGGAAGAACUGCCUUAUGGGUUGUAAACUUCUUUUUUACAGGAAUAAAAAGACAUUACGAGUAAUGUAUUGCAUGUACUGUAAGAAUAAGCAUUCGGCUAACUCCGUGCCAGCAGCCGCGGUAAUACGGAGGAUGCGAGCGUUAUUCCGGAUUUAUUGGGUUUAAAGGGUGCGCAGGCGGGCUUUUAAGUCAGCGGUGAAAUUUCCAGGCUCAACCUGGGCACUGCCGUUGAAACUGGGGGUCUUGAGUACAGAUGAAGUAGGCGGAAUUCGUUGUGUAGCGGUGACAUGCUUAGAUAUAACGAGGAACUCCGAUUGCGUAGGCAGCUUACUAAACUGUUACUGACGCUCAAGCACGAAAGCGUGGGGAUCGAAACAGGAUUAGAUACCCUGGUAGUCCACGCCGUAAACGAUGAUUACUAGUUGUAUGCGAUAUACCGUAUGUGACUAAGCGAAAGCGAUAAGUAUCCACCUGGGGAGUACGCUG
Molecule: ribosomal RNA, 801 nt
Filed under: uncultured bacterium
Lineage: Bacteria
Description: bacterial SSU rRNA
Rfam family: Bacterial small subunit ribosomal RNA
Source: RNAcentral